RNAcentral lists this ribosomal RNA (321 nucleotides) under uncultured bacterium. RNAcentral describes it as "bacterial SSU rRNA". It matches the Rfam family "Bacterial small subunit ribosomal RNA", at positions 28 to 334 of the family's 1533-position model. The record is from RNAcentral.
GAUGAAUGCUAGCGACAGGCUUAACACAUGCAAGUCGAGGGGCAGCGGGGGAGGAAGCUUGCUUUCUCCUGCCGGCGACCGGCGCACGGGUGAGUAACACGUAUGCAACCUGGCCGUCACAGGUGGAUAACCGGAAGAAAUUCCGACUAAUACAGCAUAACACUCCUGAGGGACAUCCUUCGGGAGUCAAAGGAGGCGACUCCGGUGACGGAUGGGCAUGCGGCGCAUUAGGUAGUUGGUAGGGUAACGGCCUACCAAGCCGACGAUGCGUAGGGGUUCUGAGAGGAAGGUCCCCCACACUGGAACUGAGACACGGUCCAG